Molecule: ribosomal RNA, 1970 nt
Filed under: human gut metagenome
Description: bacterial LSU rRNA
Rfam family: Bacterial large subunit ribosomal RNA
Source: RNAcentral
GAAAGUAAGAAAGGGCGUAUGGCGGAUGCCUAGGCUCACGGAGGCGAUGAAGGACGUGAUAAGCUGCGAUAAGCUUCGGGUAGGUGCAAAUAACCCUUGAUCCGGAGAUUUCCGAAUGGGACAACCUAGCCGUCUGAAGGACGGUUACUCUUACCAGUGUAAGAGAGCUAACGCAGGGAACUGAAACAUCUUAGUACCUGCAGGAAGAGAAAAUAAAUGAAUGAUUCCCCCAGUAGUGGCGAGCGAACGGGGAACAGCCCAAACCGUUGACGUCGCAAGGCGCCAGCGGGGUUGUAGGACCGCGACAUUGUAUGCAAAUCGUGAACAGAACACUUUGGAAAAUGUGACCAUAGACGGUGAUAGUCCAGUAUGUGAAGCGAAAUGCAGCAUAGCGGUAUCCUGAGUAACGCGGGACACGAGGAAUCCUGCGCGAAUCUGCCGGGACCAUCCGGUAAGGCUAAAUACUCCCGUGAGACCGAUAGCGAACGAGUACUGUGAAGGAAAGGUGAAAAGAACCCCGAGCAGGGGAGUGAAAUAGUUCCUGAAACCAUACGCCUACAAGCGGUCGGAGCAUCUUACGAUGUGACGGCGUGCCUUUUGCAUAAUGAUCCUACGAGUUACCGUCACUGGCGAGGUUGAGUGUCACGAGACACGUAGCCGCAGUGAAAGCGAGCCUGAAGAGGGCGCACAGUCAGUGGGGGUAGACGCGAAACCAAGUGAUCUACACUUGGCCAGGAUGAAGUCCCGGUAACACGGGAUGGAGGUCCGCACCAAUAAGCGUUGAAAAGCUUCUGGAUGAGCCGAGUGUAGGAGUGAAAGGCCAAUCAAACUUGGAGAUAGCUCGUACUCCCCGAAAGGCAUUUAGGUGCCGCGUCGGAUGGUCACCGUGAGAGGUAGAGCGACCGAUAGGACAAGAGGGCUUCACCGCCUAUCGAGUCCUGACGAACUCCGAAUGCUCACGGUCUGCAGUCCGGCAGUAAGGGGGCGGGUGCUAAGGUCCGUCCCCGAGAGGAGAAGAAUCCAGACCGCCGUCUAAGGUCCCGGAGUUCUGCCUGAGUUAGUCUAACGAAGUCUGGUCCCUAUGACAGCUAGGAUGUUGGCUUGGAAGCAGCCAUUCAUUCAAAGAGUGCGUAACAGCUCACUAGUCGAGGGUCCGGGCAUGGAUAAUAAUCGGGUAUAAGGCAGACACCGAAGGCGCGGGAUAGCAUUUAAUAAAGUAUCGGUAGGGGAGCAUACUCACAGCGUCGAAUGGUGUACGUAAGUUAUCCUGGAGCGGUGAGUAAAGCAAAUGUAGGAAUAAGUAACGAUAAGGAGGGUUAGAUUCCCUCCCGCUGUAAGACCAAGGUUUCCCGGGCAAUGCCAAUCAGCCCGGGGUCAGUCGGGUCCUAAGUCUAAGCCGAACGGCGAUGGCGAUGGCAGAGACGGUUAAUAUUCCGUCACUGCCGCAUGGGGCGACGUGGAGACGGAGCAGUGAAACCACCGCGGGGCGACGGAAGUCCCCGUUGAAGAGUGUAGGUGUUGAGGAUGGCAGGCAAAUCCACCGUCCGAGCUGAACUUGAUAGUAUGGAGUCUUCUUCGGAAGAAUCCAAUAGUGUGGGUAAUCAUACUCCCGAGAAAAUCCGCUAAGCUUAACCCAUGCGGCACCCGUACCGCAAACGGACACACGUGGUCGGGUAGAACAUACUAAGGCGUUGAGAGAUUCAUGGUUAAGGAACUAGGCAAAUUGACCCUGUAACUUCGGGAUAAAGGGUCCUCGUGAUGAGCGAGGCGCAGAGAAUAGGUCCAGGCAACUGUUUAACAAAAACACAGGGCUGUGCAAACUCGAAAGAUGACGUAUACAGCCUGACACCUGCCCGGUGCCGGAAGGUUAAGAGGAGAUGUCACUAGCAAUAGGAAGCAUUGAAUUGAAGCCCCGGUAAACGGCGGCCGUAACUAUAACGGUCCUAAGGUAGCGAAAUUCCUUGUCGGGU